UUUCAGCCGUGGCGGGCUGUCACGGCUACGCCUAUGUAAGGGAAACCCUGGAUCUGAUCCAUGAACUCAGAGUAAGGGCCUGGUGGACGAUAUAAAACUUUUCAGCACUUUUGUAAUUUUAAUGAUAUCUUGAACGGUUCAGGAAUUAUGGUAGUGAGAAGUGCGGAUGUCCAAUCCCGUCGGCGGCGACAGGUGGUAAUAAGAAUAUUAUGGCAUUAACAGAAGGGUGCCCGCAGUCAGGGCUAGGGGGCCCCCUUGGCCCCCCAGCACAAGGGGGCCCCAGGCGGCCGCCGACCUAUGCCUAAUGGUAAAACCUCCACUGUGGCAAACAACCCAAAAUGCCCGGCUUCUGUGGCAAGACAUAGAACUGAGAGGUGGGUCAUUUUGCUUGAGUGUCAUUCAACACAGACCGACUCGGUUGAGUCAGUAUCCAAUUAAAAUAAUCUUUACUUUAGGUAACUACAGCAUUAACAGACUGGACUUGUUGCACAGCUACUAUUACAACUGCAUCUGCUAAUGGGCCAUUCCCACCUGUACCCAUACAGCUCACUGUGGACUCUGGUUCAUGUUUCUAUUACAUCUAGAAAUGAGUAAGAAGCCCAUUUGAGCAGUAAUGGUCUGCAGGCUCCAGAUGUGACUUUAUAGUCCCUCAUACACCAGUACUAGGAUGACUGCCUAGUCGCAUCAUGUGACUGCAUGUUUCUCUACUACGCCGUUUGUUGCCGACUGCCGCUGCGGGGAUGGAUCUAAUCGAAGGACUUGGACUGCUGUUGAAGGUGAAAGUCCACUCUCCCUUCUCCUGUGAUGUGUCUGCCAUCUCAGCCUCAAUGGUCAUCUCUUGGAUGUGAGAACAUGUUUGUUAAAAGUUUUGGAUGCUAUUGCUCUAGUCAGGAAUAUAUACAGAGGCACUUAGCCCCUCCUAAUUUUGCCUGAAUUAGCGGUAAAGUGGACCUACUUUCAUGGACUUGUACCCAACUGUCUGUUUUUAUCCUGAGAGUGUUUCAACAAGUAGAACUCAACUCCAUCAGACGAGUGUGAGAUUCCCUAAGCUGGAAUGUUUUGAACUAGCAGACAUUAAAACCAUCUCUCUUACUUGUGCCCAUCUGUGCUGUUUGUUUAAUCCGACACAUUAGAAACUGCUUCAGCGAGAAGCAUGAUGGGGAAAACGUGACAUACUUAAGCAGCACUCGAUCACACAGUAGUACAUUUUACACUCGAAUCAAACUCAUGACCAGUGCAUUGAGAAGUGAAGAGAACCCCAGAAGCCACCAGCAGCACACAUCAAACCUCUAAAGCCGUUUAUUCAUCAGCACAGGGAUGUUUGCAGAGGAACUUCUAUGUGGCUCAAACAGUCCUGGGAUAAACCUGCUCCAGCCGCCUGCGUCGGUGCCAGUGAGCCCAAACAGAACUAAGAAAACGUAAAAGAUUUAAAGUCAGCCCAUGUCACUACCCCCCCCCCCCCC
Molecule: long non-coding RNA, 1463 nt
Organism: Nothobranchius furzeri (turquoise killifish)
Lineage: Eukaryota; Metazoa; Chordata; Actinopteri; Cyprinodontiformes; Nothobranchiidae
Source: RefSeq, a predicted model, not a curated record